CACUCUAGAGAGACUGCCAGGGAUAACCUGGAGGAAGGUGGGGAUGACGUCAAAUCAUCAUGCCCCUUAUGCUUAGGGCUACACACGUGCUACAAUGGGUAGUACAGAGGGUUGCCAAGCCGUAAGGUGGAGCUAAUCCCUUAAAGCUACUCUCAGUUCGGAUUGUAGGCUGAAACUCGCCUACAAGAAGCUGGAGUUACUAGUAAUCGCAGAUCAGAAUGCUGCGGUGAAUGCGUUCCCGGGUCUUGUACACACCGCCCGUCACACCACGGGAGUUGGAGACGCCCGAAGCCGAUUAUCUAACCUUUUGGAAGAAGUCGGCGAAGGUGGAAUCAAUAACUGGGGUGAAGUCGUAACAAGGUAGCCGUAUCGGAAGGUGCGGCUGGAUCACCUCCUUUCUAAGGAGA
This 407-nucleotide ribosomal RNA is filed under the name Clostridioides difficile. Its description in RNAcentral is "bacterial SSU rRNA". It matches the Rfam family "Bacterial small subunit ribosomal RNA", at positions 1136 to 1533 of the family's 1533-position model. The record is from RNAcentral. Lineage: Bacteria; Bacillati; Bacillota; Clostridia; Peptostreptococcales; Peptostreptococcaceae.